AACGGCCGCGGUAUUUUGACCGUGCAAAGGUAGCAUAAUCAUUAGUCUUUUAAUAGGAGGCUGGAAUGAAAGGUUUAACGAAAAAUUAACUGUCUCAUCUUUAUUUUAAAAUUUAACUUUUGAGUUAAAAGGCUUAAAUGCGUUGGGGGACGAGAAGACCCUAUAGAGCUUUACAUCUUUUUUAAUUUAAUCUUUAAAGAUUUAUAAUUAAUUUUAGAUUUUAGAUUUGUUUUGUUGGGGAGACAAAAAAUAUAUAAUUAACUUUUAUUAGAUAAUAUACAUUAAUUUAUGGGUUUUGGGUCCACUUUUAUUGAUCAUUAGAUUAAGUUACCUUAGGGAUAACAGCGUAAUCUUCUUUGGGAGUUCCUAUUUACAAGAAGGCUUGCGACCUCGAUGUUGGAUUAAGAUUAUAAUUAGGUGCAGUAGCUUAAUAUAUAGGUCUGUUCGAC
This 449-nucleotide ribosomal RNA is filed under the name Mortonagrion binocellata. Its description in RNAcentral is "partial 16S ribosomal RNA". It matches the Rfam family "Archaeal large subunit ribosomal RNA", at positions 2003 to 2654 of the family's 2987-position model. Lineage: Eukaryota; Metazoa; Arthropoda; Insecta; Odonata; Coenagrionidae. The record is from RNAcentral.